This 465-nucleotide ribosomal RNA is filed under the name uncultured bacterium. RNAcentral's name for it is "partial 16S ribosomal RNA". It matches the Rfam family "Bacterial small subunit ribosomal RNA", at positions 28 to 507 of the family's 1533-position model. The record is from RNAcentral.
GACGAACGCUGGCGGCGUGCUUAACACAUGCAAGUCGAACGGAAAGGCCCCUUUGGGGGUACUCGAGUGGCGAACGGGUGAGUAACACGUGAGUAACCUGCCCUUGACUUCGGGAUAACUUCAGGAAACUGGGGCUAAUACCGGAUAGGAAUCCUUGCUGCAUGGUGGGGGUUGGAAAGCUUCGGCGGUUUUGGAUGGACUCGCGGCUUAUCAGCUUGUUGGUGGGGUAGUGGCUUACCAAGGCUUUGACGGGUAGCCGGCCUGAGAGGGCGACCGGCCACAUUGGGACUGAGAUACGGCCCAGACUCCUACGGGAGGCAGCAGUGGGGAAUAUUGCACAAUGGGCGGAAGCCUGAUGCAGCAACGCCGCGUGCGGGAUGACGGCCUUCGGGUUGUAAACCGCUUUCAGCAGGGGCGAAGCUUGAGGUGAUGGUACCUGCAGAAGAAGCACCGGCUAACUACGUG